UGAGGAAUAUUGGUCAAUGGGCGGGAGCCUGAACCAGCCAAGUCGCGUGAAGGAUGACUGUCUUAUGGAUUGUAAACUUCUUUUAUACGGGAAUAACAAGAGUCACGUGUGACUCCCUGCAUGUACCGUAUGAAUAAGCAUCGGCUAACUCCGUGCCAGCAGCCGCGGUAAUACGGAGGAUGCGAGCGUUAUCCGGAUUUAUUGGGUUUAAAGGGUGCGUAGGCGGUUUGUUAAGUCAGCGGUGAAAUCUAGAGGCUCAACCUCGAAACUGCCGUUGAAACUGGCGAACUUGAGUGUAGAUGAGGUAGGCGGAAUUCGUGGUGUAGCGGUGAAAUGCAUAGAUAUCACGAGGAACUCCGAUUGCGAAGGCAGCUUACUAAGGUACAACUGACGCUGAAGCACGAAAGCGUGGGUAUCAAACAGGAUUAGAUACCCUGGUAGUCCACGCAGUAAACGAUGAUAACUGGGCGUAUGCGAUAUACAGUAUGCUCCUAAGCGAAAGCGUUAAGUUAUCCACCUGGGGAGUACGCCGGCAACGGUG
RNAcentral lists this ribosomal RNA (541 nucleotides) under uncultured bacterium. RNAcentral's name for it is "bacterial SSU rRNA". It matches the Rfam family "Bacterial small subunit ribosomal RNA", at positions 355 to 896 of the family's 1533-position model. The record is from RNAcentral.